UCCCAUAUGGUCUAGUGGUUAGGAUAUGGCGCUUUCACCGCCAAGGCCUGGGUUCAAUUCCCGGUGUGAGAA
Molecule: transfer RNA, 72 nt
Filed under: Saccoglossus kowalevskii
Lineage: Eukaryota; Metazoa; Hemichordata; Enteropneusta; Harrimaniidae
Description: tRNA-Glu
Rfam family: tRNA
About the family: Transfer RNA (tRNA) molecules are approximately 80 nucleotides in length.
Source: RNAcentral